Molecule: long non-coding RNA, 685 nt
Organism: Hypanus sabinus (Atlantic stingray)
Lineage: Eukaryota; Metazoa; Chordata; Chondrichthyes; Myliobatiformes; Dasyatidae
Exons: 3
Source: RefSeq, a predicted model, not a curated record
UCAUUUGCAUUACCCUAACCCUCCAGUAGAUGGAACUGUUUAACAUCUAAGGACAGGAUCGACCAAAUUCGAGGCCUUCCAUUUCUUUCAUUUUUCGAUUGUCUGUUUCCCUCCCCCUUUUGUUAUGUGUUCAGCAAAAUCAAAUAUUCUUGGCUAUAAAAAAGUCUCCUGCAGUGUGAUCAAAGCAUUGAUAUUACUGGAGAAAAUAAAAUAGUGUAUUGGCAUUUGGAGAGGUUUUCCUGCACAAACGCGUAUUCAAAACAGACAUCUGUAAUGGAAAAAUGUCUCGGCACCUUGCAACAUUAUCGAACAUCUGUUCUGUGGCUCAUCUGGAGGGACGGCUGACUAAAUGCAUGAGCAUUUGAAGGCAGAGAGAGGCAUUCACAGUAAAUACUACAAAACAACAAAAGAAUCGAAGAAAUACAAAGAGGAAUAAACAAUUAAUGUGCAAAAGACUAUGCAAUUACAAACAAGAGAAAAAAGUAAUAAUAAUAACAAUAAAAGCCACAUUCUAAGCACCACUAGAAAAGUCCAAAAGUUCCUAGCAAUUGACAAAUGAGUGUGCCUGGCUACGCAGUACCUCAGGUUUUACCAGAUUGAGCUCAGAGAAAAUAAAAAUACAACAAUAGAAAUAAUAAUCAAUAAAUAAGCAAUAAAUAUCAAGAACACAAGUUGUAGAGCUCUU